RNAcentral lists this ribosomal RNA (497 nucleotides) under uncultured bacterium. RNAcentral's name for it is "partial 16S ribosomal RNA". It matches the Rfam family "Bacterial small subunit ribosomal RNA", at positions 28 to 507 of the family's 1533-position model. The record is from RNAcentral.
GAUGAACGCUGGCGGCGUGCCUAAUACAUGCAAGUCGAGCGAACGGACGAGAAGCUUGCUUCUCUUAUGUUAGCGGCGGACGGGUGAGUAACACGUGGAUAACCUACCUAUAAGACUGGGAUAACUUCGGGAAACCGGAGCUAAUACCGGAUAAUAUUUUGAACCGCAUGGUUCAAAAGUGAAAGACGGUCUUGCUGUCACUUAUAGAUGGAUCCGCGCUGCAUUAGCUAGUUGGUAAGGUAACGGCUUACCAAGGCAACGAUGCAUAGCCGACCUGAGAGGGUGAUCGGCCACACUGGAACUGAGACACGGUCCAGACGCCUACGGGAGGCAGCAGUAGGGAAUCUUCCGCAAUGGGCGAAAGCCUGACGGAGCAACGCCGCGUGAGUGAUGAAGGUCUUCGGAUCGUAAAACUCUGUUAUUAGGGAAGAACAUAUGUGUAAGUAAAUGUGCACAUCGUGACGGUACCUAAUCAGAAAGCCACGGCUAACUACGUG